GCGGAGGAAAAGAAACCAACCGGGAUUGCCUCAGUAACGGCGAGUGAAGCGGCAAGAGCUCAAAUUUGAAAGCUGGCCCCUUCGGGGUCCGCGUUGUAAUUUGCAGAGGAUGCUUCGGGUGCGGCCCCUGUCUAAGUGCCCUGGAACGGGCCGUCAGAGAGGGUGAGAAUCCCGUCUUGGGCAGGGUGCCCGUGCCCGUGUGAAGCUCCUUCGACGAGUCGAGUUGUUUGGGAAUGCAGCUCUAAAUGGGUGGUAAAUUUCAUCUAAAGCUAAAUACCGGCCGGAGACCGAUAGCGCACAAGUAGAGUGAUCGAAAGAUGAAAAGCACUUUGAAAAGAGAGUUAAACAGCACGUGAAAUUGUUGAAAGGGAAGCGCUUGCGACCAGACUCGGCCCCGGGGUUCAGCCAGCACUCGUGCUGGUGUACUUCCCCGGGGGCGGGCCAGCGUCGGUUUGGGCGGCCGGUCAAAGGCCCCAGGAAUGUAUCGCCCUCCGGGGUUGUCUUAUAGCCUGGGGUGCAAUGCGGCCAGCCCGGACCGAGGAACGCGCUUCGGCACGGACGCUGGCGUAAUGGUCGCAAACGACCCGUCUUGAAACACGGACCAAGGAGUCUAACAUCUACGCGAGUGUUCGGGUGUCAAACCCGUACGCGCAGUGAAAGCGAACGGAGGUGGGAGCCCCCCCGGGGCGCACCAUCGACCGAUCCUGAUGUCUUCGGAUGGAUUUGAGUAAGAGCGUAGCUGUGGGGACCCGAAAGAUGGUGAACUAUGCCUGAAUAGGGCGAAGCCAGAGGAAACUCUGGUGGAGGCUCGCAGCGGUUCUGACGUGCAAAUCGAUCGUCAAAUUUGGGUAUAGGGGCGAAAGACUAAUCGAACCAUCUGGUAG
Molecule: ribosomal RNA, 884 nt
Filed under: Aspergillus nidulans
Lineage: Eukaryota; Fungi; Ascomycota; Eurotiomycetes; Eurotiales; Aspergillaceae
Description: LSU rRNA
Rfam family: Eukaryotic large subunit ribosomal RNA
Source: RNAcentral